Paramisgurnus dabryanus is the source of this 650-nucleotide long non-coding RNA. RefSeq lists it as uncharacterized. The record is from RefSeq and is a predicted model, not a curated record. Lineage: Eukaryota; Metazoa; Chordata; Actinopteri; Cypriniformes; Cobitidae.
AGCGGGCGAUCGACGUUCGCCAAUCUGUUGGUAUGAAAGAGCCAACAACGCAUCAAAGACGCUCGCAGACGGCUCGCAGACGCGUCGCCGACACCAGAAAAAUAUCUAGCUUGUUAGAUAUCUGGAGCUGUCGCGCGACUCGACCUCCUAUGAUUUCACGAGCUACAGCCAAUCCGACGAGGGGUUGACGUCACACAGAAAGAUGAGCAGCAUGUCACCAAGAAAACAUUGAACUCAGGCAUAAAUGUCUGUAUGACGUUUCACAUAUAUUUACCACAACUGCGCUGAGAAAAAGAAACGGUGGAGAGAAAGAGCAAACGCUGUAAAACAGCCAGACUUUACUGUUGCACAAGUGGACUCACAAACAACUAGGGAUACAUUAACUUCAUUUGGGAACCAUGGCUUUGGAAUUGAGGAAUAUUGAAGACCCAGUUCUCUUAUCACAUCUCAAAAGAAGCAUAAUGGUGAUGCUAUACAACGCCCAGGAGACUGACAGAAGCGGAUCAAUGUUGUCACCUGAACAACCUACCCUAUGCAUAUAUCAUGCAUGACAUGUGCGGUCCGGUCCCGAUGUGUUUUUGUUUACAAACUAUUGACUUUACUAUGUAUUACAUUUAUCAAUAAGGUGAUUAAACUUGUUGAAGGGUUUA